RNAcentral lists this ribosomal RNA (301 nucleotides) under uncultured bacterium. Its description in RNAcentral is "partial 16S ribosomal RNA". It matches the Rfam family "Bacterial small subunit ribosomal RNA", at positions 509 to 809 of the family's 1533-position model. The record is from RNAcentral.
CAGCAGCCACGGGAAUACAGAGGGUGCGAGCGUUAAUCGGAUUUACUGGGCGUAAAGCGUGCGUAGGCGGCUAAUUGAGUCGGAUGUGAAAUCCCCGAGCUUAACUUGGGAAUUGCAUUCGAUACUGGUUAGCUAGAGUGUGGGAGAGGAUGGUAGAAUUCCAGGUGUAGCGGUGAAAUGCGUAGAGAUCUGGAGGAAUACCGAUGGCGAAGGCAGCCAUCUGGCCUAACACUGACGCUGAGGUACGAAAGCAUGGGGAGCAAACAGGAUUAGAUACCCCCGUAGUCCCUGUCUCUUAUAU